Molecule: long non-coding RNA, 1596 nt
Filed under: Sus scrofa (pig)
Lineage: Eukaryota; Metazoa; Chordata; Mammalia; Artiodactyla; Suidae
Description: lncRNA (ENSSSCG00065053182.1)
Source: RNAcentral
CUCUGCUUUGCCCUCCUCAGACUGGCUACUGUGCUUUACUCUAAGGCUUUGAGGUUCCCCCCCUGUCCCAGCUGAUCUCCCUACCAGCCGGGGGCUUCUAGGGUGCAGAUUCCUUUCCUCUUUAACAGCUCCUUCCCAGGAGUGCUGGUCCUGUCCUGUUUCCUCUCUUUUUUUCCUUUUGUCCUACCCAAUUAUGUGGAGAUUGUCUUGCCUUUUUGGAAGUCUGAGGUCUUCUGCCAGCCUUCAGUAGAUGUUCUGUGAGAAUCAUUCUAUAGGUAGAUGUGGGGGUUUGGGGUAUAUUUGUGGGAGAGGGUGAGCUCCACAUCCUGCUCCUUCAACCAUCUUGAUUCCACUCCCUCAAUAUAAUUCUUAGUAGUUCCAUAUAGUGUAUUGUGAGGAUGUUCCAUUCAUUGUUAAUUAUCCCUAAUUUCUUGGGUGUUUGGUUUCUUUCUCAGUUUGUCUUCCUUUCACUGACAAGUAAGACCAAUCAUCUUUUUUCUCGUAUGACUAUUUUUUUUUUUUUUUUUUUUUUGCAGAAGAUGGCACUGUUUCCUAGAAAAGUGAGUGAAGUUACCCUUGACCAAUUAAGUUUAUAACAUCAAAAAGAGAGUCUCUUCCUUCCUCUGCUCCUCAACAUGAGGCGAGGGAAAGGGAUGAAGCAGAGACUCAAGAAGAUGGAAAGGAGGACGGCGUUUGGUUAAGGACGGAGAGCAAGAACAGGAGUCCAGCUCUAGGCUGGCCUCUCAGUUGGACUGUCUGAUCUUGUGUGAGUCAUUCUUUUUUUUACUGACAUAGCAGUAUGUAGAGAGAAGGAGCACAGGCUUGAGAAAUACAUAUACCUGGCUGGAACCUUCAUUUUAGCUCUUACCAACCAGACCAUGUGACCUUAGGACUGGACUUAAUCUCUUUGAGCCUUGGUUCCCUCAUUUUCAACGUGUGACUAUCAAUAAGCCACCCUCCAAGUCUGUUUGGGGAAUCCAGUGAGAUUAUUUUGGUGAAACACCUGACACAGUGUUCGGUACCUGGCACAUACCCGGUAAGUAGAGCUUUUCAUUAUCUUUAAAGUAAGUGGUUAGAUCAGUUCCCGCUGAGCUUAGUUAGCAUUUUGUUAUCCAGGAUGUGGUGGACUGGCAUCCACGUGCGAUCUCAGCAAGUAACAUACUGAUACUCCACCCCCAUCACACAUGCAGAAGCCAUGCACUAGUAGAGCUCCCGGGCACAUAGAGCAGGUCACAUUACAGGCACAGAUUGGCCUGGCAUGGAGGCUGGACACCCCAUAACUGUUUGAAGACUUGGUUGCUUGAGCCACAUUUUCAUCCUCCCAUGGCUGAGUGAUCUAUUUUUUUUCCCCAAAGUUGCUAUAAAAUCAGAGAUGAGAGCUAGUACUGAAUCAAAGAACUGUGGUUCUUUGUCACAUACACUCUCUUGGGUUCCAUCCAACCUUAUUUUAAAUAUCUUUAGGGAUGGGCUUUUAUCACUUUUCUUGGAAGGUUUUCUUUAAAUAAUAAUUUUUUGCUGUCAUAAAGUUUUCUCUCCCAUUCAGGGAAAAAUUUUUCUUUCCUCCCUUAUACUCUUUUAGCCAUCCUGUCCUCAAUC